ACAAUGGAGAGUUUGAUCCUGGAUCAGGAUGAACGCUAGCGGCAGGCUUAACACAUGCAAGUCGAGGGGCAGCAUAAAGAUGUAGCAAUACAUUUUGGUGGCGACCGGCGCACGGGUGCGUAACGCGUAUGCAACCUACCUUUAACAGGGGGAUAACACUGAGAAAUUGGUACUAAUACCCCAUAAUAUCACGAAAGGCAUCUUUUGUGGUUGAAAACUCCGGUGGUUAGAGAUGGGCAUGCGUUGUAUUAGCUAGUUGGAGAGGUAACGGCUCACCAAGGCGACGAUACAUAGGGGGACUGAGAGGUUAACCCCCCACAUUGGUACUGAGACACGGACCAAACUCCUACGGGAGGCAGCAGUAAGGAAUAUUGGUCAAUGGACGGAAGUCUGAACCAGCCAUGCCGCGUGCAGGAAGACGGCCUUCUGGGUUGUAAACUGCUUUUCUACGGGAAGAACAGUUAGUACUUGUACUGAUUUGACGGUACUGUAGG
Molecule: ribosomal RNA, 494 nt
Filed under: Candidatus Alistipes avicola
Lineage: Bacteria; Pseudomonadati; Bacteroidota; Bacteroidia; Bacteroidales; Rikenellaceae
Description: bacterial SSU rRNA
Rfam family: Bacterial small subunit ribosomal RNA
Source: RNAcentral